Long non-coding RNA from Ananas comosus (pineapple), 847 nucleotides. RefSeq lists it as uncharacterized. The transcript is spliced from 4 exons. Lineage: Eukaryota; Viridiplantae; Streptophyta; Magnoliopsida; Poales; Bromeliaceae. The record is from RefSeq and is a predicted model, not a curated record.
CCAUUCUCCUUCCUCUCUCUCUCUCUCUAGGCCGGGUUGGUGUGCGGUUGGAGGGAGUUCGUCGCCGACGUCGCGCCGCGAGCCGUUCGAGUGCGCGUGUGACCGGGGCGCUGCGAGGAGGCCGGGCGAGGGCGUGUCUUCGACGUUACUGUCGCCGCGUCGUAGUUCCUCACUGUGGAGGUGAGUUGUUUUGGUCGCAUUUUUCCCCGAAUCCAUCUUCGAUUCCAAGUUGCCCACGCGUGCUGUUUUCACAGAUUUCCUGCGUCGACUGUUAGUAUUUCGGCUCGUUCUCCGCGUAGAAGCGUCGGAUCGCGACGAAACUUGGUUCAUUGGACUCUAGACUGCGAGAGGAUUCCACAGAGCCCUCAUUUGCAAUUUUUGGACAAGCUCGGCGACCGGUCUAGGUGGUCCCUGAGGAAUCCAGCAGCAUCGCGGGUGGCCGAGGCUGAGUUCGCUGCCAGGAAAUUGCACUUGAGAGCCGCAGGUACAGGCUGCUGCUUCCUCUGCUGAGCAGGAUCGUGGCAAGGGCGUCGCGAGCUAGAGCCCUACCAGACUGAUCGAGUUAGAGGCGUCCUCCCCUUACAGCAGCUAUGUAUCGUCGCCGGGGUCGACCGUCGUUGCGGGAGCGCGCCCAGUUGGCGCGGGAUCAUGCUGGACCUUCUGAGAGAUCUGAGCGGGUGGAGCAGUGUACUCAGCAGGAGCAGGGUGACAGACUGGGGGCGAGUGUACCCCCUGUUGUAGAGCCGAGUGCGCGACCAGAGGCUAGCGCACCCCUUGAUCUGAGUGCACAGUUGGCUGCCCUGACUGAGGUGACGAGACAGCAGGGGGAGCUAUUGCAGAGGUUGUG